This 676-nucleotide ribosomal RNA is filed under the name Pseudonocardia sp. J561. Its description in RNAcentral is "bacterial SSU rRNA". It matches the Rfam family "Bacterial small subunit ribosomal RNA", at positions 58 to 747 of the family's 1533-position model. Lineage: Bacteria; Bacillati; Actinomycetota; Actinomycetes; Pseudonocardiales; Pseudonocardiaceae. The record is from RNAcentral.
CAAGUGCGUGCGGUAAGGCCCUUUCGGGGGUACACGAGCGGCGAACGGGUGAGUAACACGUGGGUGACCUGCCCUCCACUCUGGGAUAAGCCUGGGAAACUGGGUCUAAUACCGGAUAGGACACGUUGAUGCAUGUCUUCGUGUGGAAAGUUUUUUCGGUGGGGGAUGGGCCCGCGGCCUAUCAGCUUGUUGGUGGGGUGAUGGCCUACCAAGGCGGUGACGGGUAGCCGGCCUGAGAGGGCGACCGGCCACACUGGGACUGAGACACGGCCCAGACUCCUACGGGAGGCAGCAGUGGGGAAUAUUGCGCAAUGGGCGGAAGCCUGACGCAGCGACGCCGCGUGGGGGAUGACGGCCUUCGGGUUGUAAACCUCUUUCGCCAGGGACGAAGCUUUGGUGACGGUACCUGGAGAAGAAGCACCGGCCAACUACGUGCCAGCAGCCGCGGUAACACGUAGGGUGCGAGCGUUGUCCGGAAUUAUUGGGCGUAAAGAGCUCGUAGGCGGUGUGUCGCGUCGGCCGUGAAAACUUGGGGCUUAACUCUGAGCGUGCGGUCGAUACGGGCAUCACUUGAGUUCGGCAGGGGAGACUGGAAUUCCUGGUGUAGCGGUGAAAUGCGCAGAUAUCAGGAGGAACACCGGUGUCAAAGUCGGGUCUCUGGAGCGUUACAUACCCU